This 257-nucleotide ribosomal RNA is filed under the name uncultured bacterium. Its description in RNAcentral is "partial 16S ribosomal RNA". It matches the Rfam family "Bacterial small subunit ribosomal RNA", at positions 524 to 776 of the family's 1533-position model. The record is from RNAcentral.
UACGUAGGGUGCGAGCGUUGUCCGGAAUUAUUGGGCGUAAAGAGCUCGUAGGCGGUUUGUCGCGUCGACUGUGAAACUGGGGGCUUAACUCUCAGCUUGCGAGUUGAUACGGGCAGACGUUGAAGUUCGGUAGGGGAGACUGGAAUUCCUGGUGUAGCGGUGAAAUGCGCAGAUAUCAGGAGGAACACCGGUGGCGAAGGCGGGUCUCUGGGCCGAAUACUGGCGCUGGAGGAGCGAAAGCGUGGGGAGCAAACAGG